GACGAACCGUCCUAACGUUGUUCGGAAUCACUGGGCUUAAAGGGCGCGUAGGCGGGCGAGCAAGUCCGGGGUGAAAUCUUUCGGCUUAACCGGAAAAGUGCCUUGGAUACUGCUCGUCUCGAGGGAGGUAGGGGCAUGUGGAACUUCGGGUGGAGCGGUGAAAUGCGUUGAUAUCCGAAGGAACGCCGGUGGCGAAAGCGACGUGCUGGAUCUCUUCUGACGCUGAGGCGCGAAAGCUAGGGUAGCGAACGGG
RNAcentral lists this ribosomal RNA (253 nucleotides) under uncultured bacterium. RNAcentral's name for it is "partial 16S ribosomal RNA". It matches the Rfam family "Bacterial small subunit ribosomal RNA", at positions 524 to 776 of the family's 1533-position model. The record is from RNAcentral.